RNAcentral lists this long non-coding RNA (285 nucleotides) under Hordeum vulgare. Its description in RNAcentral is "long non-coding RNA (HVUL_LNC010484)". Lineage: Eukaryota; Viridiplantae; Streptophyta; Magnoliopsida; Poales; Poaceae. The record is from RNAcentral.
CAAGUCCACACUCUGAUUGUGCUCUCGCGUCACUACUUGGAAGGCUGGAGCGGCUUUAUUAGAUGGUGAAGAAAGCUCACAAAAAUCAAACCAGGGAUAGCAUAAUCAUAAUCAUAACCAUAUGUGUUUCCUUUCGACUGGUUCAGUUGUAGGCGUCCGGGUUGGCGACAAGGUAGGCCUCGGCGGCCUUGAAGAUAGCGGUGACAGACUCCUUGGCCUUGGUGAUCUCAUCGUUCACCUCCACACCCGGCAGCAGCUUGUACGUCGACUCCACCUUGACGACGC